This 72-nucleotide transfer RNA is filed under the name Ictidomys tridecemlineatus (thirteen-lined ground squirrel). RNAcentral's name for it is "Spermophilus tridecemlineatus (thirteen-lined ground squirrel) tRNA". It matches the Rfam family "tRNA". From Rfam's summary of the family: Transfer RNA (tRNA) molecules are approximately 80 nucleotides in length. Their secondary structure includes four short double-helical elements and three loops (D, anti-codon, and T loops). Further hydrogen bonds mediate the characteristic L-shaped molecular structure. tRNAs have two regions of fundamental functional importance: the anti-codon, which is responsible for specific mRNA codon recognition, and the 3' end, to which the tRNAs corresponding amino acid is attached (by aminoacyl-tRNA synthetases). tRNAs cope with the degeneracy of the genetic code in two manners: having more than one tRNA (with a specific anti-codon) for a particular amino acid; and 'wobble' base-pairing, i.e. permitting non-standard base-pairing at the 3rd anti-codon position. The record is from Rfam by way of RNAcentral. Lineage: Eukaryota; Metazoa; Chordata; Mammalia; Rodentia; Sciuridae.
GGGGGUAUGGCUUAGUGGUACAGUGCUUGUUUACCAUGCAUGAGGCCUUGGGUUCAAUUCCCAGCACCACAA